Molecule: long non-coding RNA, 481 nt
Organism: Drosophila erecta
Lineage: Eukaryota; Metazoa; Arthropoda; Insecta; Diptera; Drosophilidae
Exons: 3
Source: RefSeq, a predicted model, not a curated record
AGCGAAGGACAACCACCGAAGCAGAAAUGAGAGAGGUGAGCGCAGCGGAGGAAGGCUCUUGGCAUUUUGCCAUUACAUUGCAACCAUGAUUACGAUUAGAACUGGCAUUGUCUUGCCACCAGACGGCAGGAUGGACUCAGUACCGGGACGCAGCACCCAGAACUAUCAGCAGCAGCAGAGAGUGGUCUGCGUCUUUGCGUGUGUGUGUGUGUGUUUUUAUAACAUUUGUGGAUUACGCCUAUAAAAACUACACCUCACCGCGGAGCCAGCGAUGGCGAUCCAGAUACAACAAAGGACAAACAUUAUUCAGCAAAAAUGGUGAGUUAAAUCUUGUAUCCUCUAGACGUAAGACCCACAUAUUAUUCUGUCAUGAACUUUAUCCCGUAACCCACGAACAUAUGUAUUUAUUGAUUGCGCCACUAACGAGUCAGUAUAUCAUUAGUGCAAUUAAACAGCAAUAAAUGAAGAGGAAAAUACACGC